Molecule: ribosomal RNA, 253 nt
Filed under: uncultured bacterium
Lineage: Bacteria
Description: partial 16S ribosomal RNA
Rfam family: Bacterial small subunit ribosomal RNA
Source: RNAcentral
UACGUAGGGGGCAAGCGUUGUCCGGAAUCAUUGGGCGUAAAGCGCGCGUAGGCGGCCCGGUAAGUCCGCUGUGAAAGUCGGGGGCUCAACCCUCGGAUGCCGGUGGAUACUGUCGGGCUUGAGUGCGGAAGAGGCGAGUGGAAUUCCUGGUGUAGCGGUGAAAUGCGCAUAUAUCAGGAGGAACACCAAUUGCGAAGGCAGCUCGCUGGGACGUUACUGACGCUGAUGCGCGAAAGCGUGGGGAGCAAACAGG